UCCGGCAUGGUCUAGUGGCUAGGAUACCUAGCUCUCACCCAGGAGGCCCAGGUUCGAUUCCCGGUGUCGGAA
This 72-nucleotide transfer RNA is filed under the name Rhipicephalus microplus (southern cattle tick). RNAcentral describes it as "tRNA-Glu". It matches the Rfam family "tRNA". Rfam says of the family: Transfer RNA (tRNA) molecules are approximately 80 nucleotides in length. The record is from Rfam by way of RNAcentral. Lineage: Eukaryota; Metazoa; Arthropoda; Arachnida; Ixodida; Ixodidae.